GAUGAAGAACGUAGCGAAAUGCGAUAAGUAAUGUGAAUUGCAGUAUUCAGUGAAUCAUCGAAUCUUUGAACGCACAUUGCGCCCGCCAGUAUUCUGGCGGGCAUGCCUGUCUGAGCGUCAUUUCAACCCUCAUGCCCCUAGGGCGUGGUGUUGGGGAUCGGCCAAAGCCCGCGAGGGACGGCCGGCCCCUAAAUCUAGUGGCGGACCCGUCGUGGCCUCCUCUGCGAAGUAGUGAUAUUCCGCAUCGGAGAGCGAUGAGCCCCUGCCGUUAAACCCCCAACUUUCCAAGGUUGACCUCAGAUCAGGUAGGAAUACCCGCUGAACUUAAGCAUAUCAAUAAGCGGAGGA
This 348-nucleotide unclassified non-coding RNA is filed under the name soil metagenome. RNAcentral describes it as "partial contains 5.8S ribosomal RNA, internal transcribed spacer 2, and large subunit ribosomal RNA". The stretch from base 1 to 120 matches the Rfam family "5.8S ribosomal RNA", at positions 35 to 154 of the family's 154-position model. The record is from RNAcentral.